RNAcentral lists this transfer RNA (1288 nucleotides) under Bos indicus x Bos taurus (hybrid cattle). Its description in RNAcentral is "lncRNA (ENSBIXG00005006601.1)". Lineage: Eukaryota; Metazoa; Chordata; Mammalia; Artiodactyla; Bovidae. The record is from RNAcentral.
UAAUUGAUGUUUAGAGAGAAAACUACUUCAUAGCCCAUAUAUGUAUUGAAAGUGAAAAGUGAAAGUGAAAUUGCUCAGUCGUGUCCGACUCUUUGCAACCCCAUGGACUGUAGCCUACCAGGCUCCUCAGUCCAUGGAAUUUUCCAGGCAAGAGUACUGGAAUGGGUUGCCAUUUCCUUCUCCAGGGGAUCUUCCCAACCCAGGGAUCAACCUGGGUCUCCCGCACUGCAGGCAGAUGCUUUACCGUCUAAGCCACCAAGGAAGCUAAAUCUAUAUUCAAAGGUGUAAACAAGAACACAAUUGCUGCUGCUGCUAAGUUGCUUCAGUCGUGUCCGACUCUGUGCGACCACAUAGACGGCCGCCCACCAGGCUCCCCCGUCCCUGGGAUUCUCCAGGCAAGAACACUGGAGUGGGUUGCCAUUUCCUUCUCCAAUGCAUUAAAGUGAAAAGUCAAAGUGAAGUCGCUCAGUCGUGUCCGACUCUCAAUGACCCCAUAGACUGCAGCCCUCCAGGCUCCUCUGUCCGUGGGAUUUUCCAGGCAAGAGUACUGGAGUGGGGUGCCAUUGCCUUCUCUCACAAUUGCUAUAUAACCCUAAUUAAUUGAACAUUGUGUAGUGACUCUCACUUUCCUAUUUAUAUAUAUUUGAAAAUUUGAGGCUGUUUAUGUUUUAUGUAUGUUAUUUGUAAAUAGCAUACUGUGGGAUGUUAUUUGAUUUUCCAUUUGGGUUUUCCAUACUUUUGUUUAACCAACAAGUUUAGUCCUUUGAUAACUGAUAUAUUUUGACUUAUUUCUUCAACUUACUUAGUGUUUAAUCAUUGCCCCACUUUUUAAGAACUUUAUCCCUCUAAUUUUAUAUAACAAUUGAAAAUGUUUCUUUUACCUUGGGACUCUUUCACUUUUUCAACUCUAAUCUGUUUUUAUAGAUUAUUCUGUUCAUGAUUUUACUUUCUGUUUUGUAAUCCAAUACAUUUGAUGUUAUUAUUAUACAGAUAACUUUUAUUUAGAUUUUUAAAAAUUUAAAAUAUCUGGCUGGUUUAAAUAACAAAAAUUUGUUGUCUCACAGUUUUGGCGCUAGUGACAAAGAACCCACGUUCUAAUGCAGGCGAUAUAAGAGACAUGGGUUGGAUCCCUGGGUCAGGAAGAUGUACAGGAGGAAGGCACAGCAAACCACUCCAAUAUUCAUGCCUGGAGAAUCCCAUGGACAGAGGAGUCUGGCAGGCUGUGGUCCAUAGGGCUGCAAAAAGUCGACAUGACUGAAAUGACUUAGCAUAUGGUUUUGAAAGCAAG